Molecule: ribosomal RNA, 253 nt
Filed under: uncultured Hyphomonas sp.
Lineage: Bacteria; Pseudomonadati; Pseudomonadota; Alphaproteobacteria; Hyphomonadales; Hyphomonadaceae
Description: partial 16S ribosomal RNA
Rfam family: Bacterial small subunit ribosomal RNA
Source: RNAcentral
UACGAAGGGGGCUAGCGUUGUUCGGAAUUACUGGGCGUAAAGCGCACGUAGGCGGAUUUUUAAGUCAGGUGUGAAAUCCCGGGGCUCAACCUCGGAACUGCAUUUGAAACUGGAAGUCUUGAGACCAGGAGAGGUUAGCGGAAUACCGAGUGUAGAGGUGAAAUUCGUAGAUAUUCGGUGGAACACCAGUGGCGAAGGCGGCUAACUGGACUGGUACUGACGCUGAGGUGCGAAAGUGUGGGGAGCAAGCAGG